Molecule: unclassified non-coding RNA, 364 nt
Filed under: Candida tropicalis
Lineage: Eukaryota; Fungi; Ascomycota; Pichiomycetes; Serinales; Debaryomycetaceae
Description: sequence contains 18S rRNA gene, ITS1, 5.8S rRNA gene, ITS2, 28S rRNA gene
Rfam family: 5.8S ribosomal RNA (bases 148-301)
Source: RNAcentral
GAUCAUUACUGAUUUGCUUAAUUGCACCACAUGUGUUUUUUAUUGAACAAAUUUCUUUGGUGGCGGGAGCAAUCCUACCGCCAGAGGUUAUAACUAAACCAAACUUUUUAUUUACAGUCAAACUUGAUUUAUUAUUACAAUAGUCAAAACUUUCAACAACGGAUCUCUUGGUUCUCGCAUCGAUGAAGAACGCAGCGAAAUGCGAUACGUAAUAUGAAUUGCAGAUAUUCGUGAAUCAUCGAAUCUUUGAACGCACAUUGCGCCCUUUGGUAUUCCAAAGGGCAUGCCUGUUUGAGCGUCAUUUCUCCCUCAAACCCCCGGGUUUGGUGUUGAGCAAUACGCUAGGUUUGUUUGAAAGAAUUUA